Molecule: ribosomal RNA, 253 nt
Filed under: uncultured bacterium
Lineage: Bacteria
Description: partial 16S ribosomal RNA
Rfam family: Bacterial small subunit ribosomal RNA
Source: RNAcentral
UACGAAGGGGGCUAGCGUUGUUCGGAAUCACUGGGCGUAAAGCGCACGUAGGCGGAUCUUUAAGUCAGGGGUGAAAUCCCGAGGCUCAACCUCGGAACUGCCUUUGAUACUGGGGAUCUCGAGUCCGGGAGAGGUGAGUGGAAUUGCGAGUGUAGAGGUGAAAUUCGUAGAUAUUCGCAAGAACACCAGUGGCGAAGGCGGCUCACUGGCCCGGUACUGACGCUGAGGAGCGAAAGCGUGGGGAGCAAACAGG